GUGGGGAAUAUUGGACAAUGGGGGGAACCCUGAUCCAGCCAUGCCGCGUGUGUGAAGAAGGCCUUUUGGUUGUAAAGCACUUUAAGCGAGGAGGAGGCUACCGAGAUUAAUACUCUUGGAUAGUGGACGUUACUCGCAGAAUAAGCACCGGCUAACUCUGUGCCAGCAGCCGCGGUAAUACAGAGGGUGCAAGCGUUAAUCGGAUUUACUGGGCGUAAAGCGCGCGUAGGUGGCCAAUUAAGUCAAAUGUGAAAUCCCCGAGCUUAACUUAGGAAUUGCAUUCGAUACUGGUUGGCUAGAGUAUGGGAGAGGAUGGUAGAAUUCCAGGUGUAGCGGUGAAAUGCGUAGAGAUCUGGAGGAAUACCGAUGGCGAAGGCAGCCAUCUGGCCUAAUACUGACACUGAGGUGCGAAAGCAUGGGGAGCAAACAGGAUUAGAUACCCCAGUAGUCC
RNAcentral lists this ribosomal RNA (451 nucleotides) under uncultured bacterium. Its description in RNAcentral is "partial 16S ribosomal RNA". It matches the Rfam family "Bacterial small subunit ribosomal RNA", at positions 354 to 796 of the family's 1533-position model. The record is from RNAcentral.